ACGCACGCUGGCGGCGUGCUUAACACCUGCAAGUCGAACGGAAAGGCCCUGCUUUUGUGGGGUGCUCGAGUGGCGAACGGGUGAGUAACACGUGAGUAACCUGCCCUUGACUUUGGGAUAACUUCAGGAAACUGGGGCUAAUACCGGAUAGGAGCUCCUGCUGCAUGGUGGGGGUUGGAAAGUUUCGGCUGUUGGGGAUGGACUCGCGGCUUAUCAGCUUGUUGGUGGGGUAGUGGCUUACCAAGGCUUUGACGGGUAGCCGGCCUGAGAGGGUGACCGGCCACAUUGGGACUGAGAUACGGCGCAGACUCCUACGGGAGGCAGCAGUGGGGAAUAUUGCACAAUGGGCGGAAGCCUGAUGCAGCAACGCCGCGUGCGGGAUGACGGCCUUCGGGUUGUAAACCGCUUUCGCCUGUGACGAAGCGUGAGUGACGGUAAUGGGUAAAGAAGCACCGGCUAACUACGUG
Molecule: ribosomal RNA, 467 nt
Filed under: uncultured bacterium
Lineage: Bacteria
Description: partial 16S ribosomal RNA
Rfam family: Bacterial small subunit ribosomal RNA
Source: RNAcentral